GCUGCCACCUCCUCAUCAACAAGCACUGGCCAACCUGACAUCAGAGUUGAAUUUAAGGCCAAGUACGAGGAAAAGGAGCUGCUGGGUGAAGGAGGCUACGCUAUGGUCUAUGCAGGACUUCGAAGAAUUGACAAUCUGCCUGUGGCGAUCAAACAUAUUCCACAGCCCAUUGUUGAGCGCAUCCCAUUACAUGCGAAUG
Scomber japonicus (chub mackerel) is the source of this 199-nucleotide long non-coding RNA. RefSeq lists it as uncharacterized. The transcript has 4 exons. The record is from RefSeq and is a predicted model, not a curated record. NCBI's taxonomy places the organism in Eukaryota, Metazoa, Chordata, Actinopteri, Scombriformes, Scombridae.